CUGAUACACCAGGAUGUCGAGAUCACCCUGAAACACCCAGAAGCCCGAGCACAAGGGAGGCUGCGCAGCAGGCUCGUUUGGAACUGCAGCCUAGGCUGGCCUCAGAGUUGUGGGACAGUAACCCUUCCUCAGCCUCUGAAAUGCUGGGAUUACAGAUGUGAGCCAUCAUGCCUGUCUCUCUCCUGUCUGUACUUCAGGUAUCACACUCUUGGUUCGGGACCCCUCUCAGGAGGCAGGCCACAGGUCUGAAUCGCACGGUGAGGAAACUGAGCGCUCAUCUGUAUCCUUAGAAGAGGAAGUCUAAGCGGCUCAUUUGAAAUCUGGAAUUACACGACUUGGAGGCAGGUCAUUAC
This is a long non-coding RNA of Mesocricetus auratus (golden hamster), 353 nucleotides long. RefSeq lists it as uncharacterized. The record is from RefSeq and is a predicted model, not a curated record. The transcript has 3 exons. NCBI's taxonomy places the organism in Eukaryota, Metazoa, Chordata, Mammalia, Rodentia, Cricetidae.